This 1146-nucleotide long non-coding RNA is filed under the name Apteryx owenii (little spotted kiwi). RNAcentral's name for it is "lncRNA (ENSAOWG00000011419.1)". Lineage: Eukaryota; Metazoa; Chordata; Aves; Apterygiformes; Apterygidae. The record is from RNAcentral.
UGGGAAAAAGCCUGAAUCCCCCCCCUCCCCCGACCUUACAGAUAAUUCUACAGAAUUGAAUAGCAAGAGAAAACCUUUCUGUAGGGUUUUUUAACCCUUUUUGCCUAGUUUGAAAAAUAAUCUCUAUAUAAACUUAUUAAUUUCAAGCUUACUAAAUUCUGUAAGACUUUUUCAUAAAGGUUUUCCCUUUCUGUGAAUAAAAUUCCUUCCUUUUUUUUUCUGAAAAAGGGAAAAAUUGUUUUUCAUGUCAUCUCCGCCAUCCAAAAGAGAAAUGUGUCUGCCUCUYCAGUUGCCAGGAGCUUGACUGGAGAGAGCAGUGCUGUGUAUCACCACUUGCUAUGUCCAUGAGCAUCCUGAGUUGAACUGGAAAGGCAGUUUGAAUCUCUUUGAAAAUGGAAAAAUGAUUUGUAUAACUCGACUUUUUCUUAUGUAAUAGGCCUGCUGCCUGUGUGUAUUCAAUAUCAGAGGGAGGGGCCUGGAACCUACUGUACAUUUCCCAGAAAAGCCUUUAUUAUAUAGCUACACCUUUUCAAGCAUAUGGAAGGCGCAGGUGCUCUGUGAGCAAAAUUUGGUCUGCAGUUCCUUUAUCCUGGUGAGGAUGGAUGAGUUGGAGAGAGUCCAGCCAAAUACUCAGAGCCCAAACUGAAUUUGUGAGGCUGGCAAUAAGCAGGAAAGGAGCUGCUGCUGUUAUUGUGCUGAAUAUGAAUGAACACUUAAACACAAGUGACCCUAUUUGAAAAAGAUUGCAGAUUCCAGUGCUCCUCUGGGUUAACCCCUUGCAAUCAGGCAGCAGGAGAUGGGUAACUUGACAUGCAUCUGGAAUUCAUAAAAUUAACAUGCACAAGUCUGACAUGCACCUAGUGAUUACAGUCCACAGCAGAUGAAGAUACUGGUGGAUCUUCUUCUGCAAUUGCAAGAGGCAGAGCCAUAUUAAGGAAUGAGAGACACUAUGGGAUUUUGGAGGAGGGCAGCUCUUGGAGGUGAGAAACUGGUGCAGAUGAACGCUGUUUCUACUCCAAGGGUGGAGGCACACAUGGAAUGGAUCUGGAAUAACCCCUCCAAAGAGCAGGGGGGGUUUACUCAAGAUCCCGAUUUUCUGCUUCACCAUAGAGAGCAGUCCAGUUCUUCAUGAUAACUCUGGGACAG